Molecule: ribosomal RNA, 253 nt
Filed under: uncultured prokaryote
Description: partial 16S ribosomal RNA
Rfam family: Bacterial small subunit ribosomal RNA
Source: RNAcentral
ACGAAGGGGGCUAGCGUUGUUCGGAAUUACUGGGCGUAAAGGGCGCGUAGGCGGUGUGUCAAGUCAGGCGUGAAAUCCCCGGGCUUAACCUGGGAAUGGCGAUGGAGACUGCGAGGCUAGAGUUUGGCAGAGGGGGGUAGAAUUCCACGUGUAGCAGUGGAAUGCGUAGAGAUGUGGAGGAACACCGAUGGCGAAGGCAGCCCCCUGGGUCAAAACUGACGCUCAUGCACGAAAGCGUGGGGAGCAAACAGGA